GGGAUGUAACACUGUAGGUAACCUGGCCUCGAAGCCUGGGAUAACACUUCGAAAGGGGUGCUAAUACCGGAUGAGGAAGGGGGGAUGCAUGUCAUUCCCUUCUAAAGCCGGCCUCUUUACAAUGCUGGCACUUCGAGAUGGGCCUGCGGCCGAUUAGCUAGUUGGCGGGGUAACGGCCCACCAAGGCGAUGAUCGGUAGCCGAUCUGAGAGGAUGAUCGGCCACACUGGAACUGAGACACGGUCCAGACUCCUACGGGAGGCAGCAGUGGGGAAUAUUGCGCAAUGGGCGAAAGCCUGACGCAGCGACGCCGUGUGGAGGAAGAAGGCCUUCGGGUCGUAAACUCCUGUCAGGGGGAACGAAAAGAUUUCGGAUAAUACCCGGGAUUCUUGACGGUACUCCCAGAGGAAGCCCCGGCUAACUACGUGCCAGCAGCCGCGGUAAUACGUAGGGGGCGAGCGUUGUUCGGAUUUAUUGGGCGUAAAGCGCGCGUAGGCGGUUAGGUAAGUGAGAGGUCAAAUCCCUCCGCUCAACGGAGGAACUGCCUCUUAAACUACCUUCCUUGAGUUCAGGAGAGGAAAGCGGAAUUCCUGGUGGAGCGGUGAAAUGCGUAGAUACCAGGAGGAACACCGGUGGCGAAGGCGGCUUUCUGGACUGAUACUGACGCUGAGGCGCGAAAGCCAGGGGAGCAAACGGGAUUGGAUACCCCGGUAGUCCUGGCCCUAAACGAUGGACACUAGGUGUUGGAGGUAUCGACCCCUCCAGUGCCGGAGCUAACGCAUUAAGUGUCCCGCCUGGGGAGUACGGCCGCAAGGUUGAAACUCAAGGAAUUGACGGGGGCCCGCACAAGCGGUGGAGCAUGUGGUUUAAUUCG
This 873-nucleotide ribosomal RNA is filed under the name uncultured bacterium. RNAcentral's name for it is "bacterial SSU rRNA". It matches the Rfam family "Bacterial small subunit ribosomal RNA", at positions 103 to 953 of the family's 1533-position model. The record is from RNAcentral.